Herpailurus yagouaroundi (jaguarundi) is the source of this 718-nucleotide long non-coding RNA. RefSeq lists it as uncharacterized. The record is from RefSeq and is a predicted model, not a curated record. NCBI's taxonomy places the organism in Eukaryota, Metazoa, Chordata, Mammalia, Carnivora, Felidae. The transcript has 4 exons.
ACUUUGUGAAGUCUGUGCAGCGUUGAUAUGCCCUGGCCCAGGUACUGGUGGAGCAGAACUUGCCAGCCAUUGCCAUACACUGUGAGACCCUUCAGGAGGAGAGUAGUUUAAAGGUCUUCAAUAUCGAAUUGUUGUGGCCAGCAACCUAUGUGGCCAAGGCAUGGACAUUAAGCAGGUGAACUCUGCCAUCGACUACCACCGGCCUGGCGAUUCCCACACCUACCUGCAUCGGGAGGCCUGUGUAGGCUAGUUGCCCGAGGGGAUUUUCCAUCACGUUUGUGUCAAGUGAAAACGGUGCCAAGAUCCUCAGUGAGGUGCAGGGUCAAACUGAGGUCGAUGGUACUGAACUGCCUGAGGAGAUGGACAUUUCCUCCUCCAUUGCAGCCAUGGGAGAGGACGCACCCAUUCACAGAGCCUGAUGCAUAUCUCACACCCAGGAACCAGGAGAUCAUACAUGACCUGAGCUGAAAUCAAGAGUCAGAUGCCCAACCGUCUUACCUACCCAGGCACCCCUACAAUUUAUACUUCCUAAUAAUUUCUUUUUAAAAAUAUUUUAACUUUGAAUAUAGUUGAAAGACACGAUUACAUUAGUUGCAGGUGCACAACACAGUGACUCAAAUCCUGAAUACAUUCUCUGUUUUCGAGAGAGAGACAGCCAGAGCAGGGAAGAGAGGCAAGAGGGAGGGAAGGAGAGAGAGAGAGAGAGAGAGAAUAAGAG